Brachypodium distachyon (stiff brome) is the source of this 396-nucleotide long non-coding RNA. RefSeq lists it as uncharacterized. The transcript has 2 exons. The record is from RefSeq and is a predicted model, not a curated record. NCBI's taxonomy places the organism in Eukaryota, Viridiplantae, Streptophyta, Magnoliopsida, Poales, Poaceae.
GGUGGUUGGUACACACACGGCCGCGUCCUGUCGCCAUUAAAACAGAGGAGGCUGGGGCGAGCACGGAGCGGCGUGGAACGGCCGGGGUGACGUCGCAGCGUCUCAGCCAAAACCAAUGAUCAUGGUGAGCCCCGACGAGGUAGAGGCCGAUACUUAUGAUGAGUCCGGUCCUUACGAUGAAUAUGCUGAAGUGGAGUAUGAGUAUGAGGAUGCCGCUGGCGAAGAUGAUGUUGCGUAGACCAUCAGGAGGGUAGUUCAAGAUGGCCUAAUAAUGUCUAGACUACAGGCACCCCUUGCCGUAGUGAGACUUGGAGACAUUUUGAGUGUCCUUGUAAUAAGACACCAUCUGCGAACGGUGAAGGUUUCUAUUGUACAUGCUACUGUUUUCCUCAAGUU